Molecule: transfer RNA, 85 nt
Filed under: Candidatus Poribacteria bacterium
Lineage: Bacteria; Candidatus Poribacteria
Description: tRNA-Tyr
Rfam family: tRNA
About the family: Transfer RNA (tRNA) molecules are approximately 80 nucleotides in length.
Source: RNAcentral
GGGGAGAUAGCGAAGUGGNUAAACGCAUCAGACUGUAAAUCUGACACCUCAGGUUUCGGCGGUUCGAAUCCGUCUCUCCCCACCA